This 236-nucleotide long non-coding RNA is filed under the name Capsicum annuum. RNAcentral's name for it is "long non-coding RNA (CANN_LNC014060)". The record is from RNAcentral. Lineage: Eukaryota; Viridiplantae; Streptophyta; Magnoliopsida; Solanales; Solanaceae.
UUCGAAUGAGGCUGCAACGAUGACAAAUUGAUUUCGGGUGAUUUUGGCUGUUUCCAACGAUGGAGGAGGAAAAGGGGACCGACGACGGGAUGAGUUGGGAAUGUUUUCCAGCGAAGGAAGGACGGUUCCGGUGAGUUUGACCGGAGUUGGUAUUCACCAGUGAUGGUGGUCGACGAAAAGGGGAAAAAGAAAGAGAGAAAUACGGCACACAGAUUUGACAUUUGGUCGAAUCUGAU